Molecule: ribosomal RNA, 253 nt
Filed under: uncultured bacterium
Lineage: Bacteria
Description: partial 16S ribosomal RNA
Rfam family: Bacterial small subunit ribosomal RNA
Source: RNAcentral
UACGUAGGCAGCGAGCGUUGUUCGGAAUUACUGGGCGUAAAGAGUGUGUAGGCGGUGUUCCCAGUCUGUUGUGAAAUCUCCCGGCUUAACUGGGAGGGUGCAGCGGAAACUAGAAUGCUAGAGGGUGGGAGAGGUAAGCGGAAUUCCUGGUGUAGCGGUGAAAUGCGCAGAUAUCAGGAGGAACACCAAUGGCGAAGGCAGCUCGCUGGGACGGUACUGACGCUGAGACGCGAAAGCGUGGGGAGCAAACAGG